RNAcentral lists this microRNA (19 nucleotides) under Callorhinchus milii (elephant shark). RNAcentral describes it as "eshark_mir-135_2". Lineage: Eukaryota; Metazoa; Chordata; Chondrichthyes; Chimaeriformes; Callorhinchidae. The record is from RNAcentral.
CAUGGCUUAUAUCAUCAUG